Molecule: long non-coding RNA, 94 nt
Organism: Mustela erminea (ermine)
Lineage: Eukaryota; Metazoa; Chordata; Mammalia; Carnivora; Mustelidae
Exons: 3
Source: RefSeq, a predicted model, not a curated record
CACAGACGCUGGGAGCCUGGGUGGCUCUGCUGGUUGAGCCUCUGAUGCUUGAUUUCCGCUCAGGUCAUGAUCUCAGGGACGUGGGAUAGAGCCC